CCACGCUCACCUCCACCUCCAGCAGCGCAUCGCCGUGUUCCUCGGCUGUCACGGCCGUCAGGCCCUUGGUGAACAGCACCUGUUGCUCUACACAUGAAGGGGAGUUAACGUUUGUUACGUCCUUACAUGUUUUGCUAGAGUCUGACGGCUGAAGGCCAGAAAGCACAAGCUUCCUUGUGACGUCACAGCUGUGGAUUCGAAUACGAGUGUCUGCUUCCAGUACUUGGCCAUUGCGUAACCACUGGACGGCGGCAUUUGGUCGAGACACUUCACACUCCAGGAUGAGGUCGUCUCCUGCCACCAGGAUGUGAUGCUCUGGGUGGCCGGAGUUUCCAACGAUCUGCACUGGUGGCUCUGAUGUAGAUCACGGUUCUAGUUACUGGUUUCCUCAUUAAAAGUGGACAAACAAGCAAAUCCUCCAGCCCAGCGUUUAGGACCACCAGCGAUCGGAAGACGCCCUGCUCCUCGCUGCAGUAUCGCUCACUGUUGGCGAUAAGCUGACUGUCUUUGAACCAGCUUACUGAGGCGUUGGAUCGUGAAAGUUCGCACACAAGGAUGAUGUCAUCUGACACAAAGAACUGCUUUUCUGUUUUUGCUUCAGUUUUUCCAAGAAUCUUCACAGGCAGCUCUGAGACAAUAGGACAAAAGGAUAGGAGGUGUUACAGAUGGAAAACGAGUGUCUUCCUAAGCAGGAGCCCAGAACACUCGCCGAAGCUCGUCGGCACCUUAAAACGGAUUUUAGAUGCUUACCCUGCACCAUCACAUGGAAGUCCAUCACAUCGUCCUUGGCAUCACACACGUACUGGCCAGCAUCCUCCACCAUCACAGAGUGAAUGGUGACCUCAGCGUUGGCUCUGGAAACCUCACAGUCUAGAACCAGAGACUCACCAACCACCUUCUCUAGUCUGCUUGCACUCUUCCUUGGCCGUACAAAGCGAACUGGAGGCUCUGCAGAACAGGAGCAUCUCUCGCUGAUGACGCCAGAGGGACGAGACAAUUCACAACUCAGAAUAAUCUCCUCAGGCACGUGACGGUCAAGGUGGACGUCCUCCUUUGGAUAGAUGAUCAUCACCGGAGGUUCUGUGGAAGAAGGACAUUCUUCACACAUUUAAAGGCUUAAGUAAAUGGUGUAGGUGCCGGCAUCAGAUAGCCGGGCAAAAUGUACAGUGAGGCUCCGUCUGGUGCCCUCUGCUUCUAUUGUCACGUUCUUGCCUGCUUGGAUUUCAGAUCCGUCUUUGUACCACUGGACAGAACCGUCGGCCCGUGACACCUCGCAUGACAGAACAAGCUGCUCGUUUUCCGCCACACUCUUGUACAGGUUGUCCUCUGGGACAUCAGCAAAGCUGACGGGAGGUGCUGCACAAAAACAGCACAAAGGGAGAGUGAUGCUGGAGCGCAGCACUCGCUGCUUCUGUUCACGCAUGCAGUAGCAUCUAACAGAAACAGCAGAGCAGGUGUUAACGUAUUAAAGUGAAGCAGUUCACUUAGCUUAGCUACAUCAGAUGUGUUGAAAAAUAAACAGCAAUACAUGCCAUUCAUUUCAGAACUAGACUAAUGAUGAAGCUGGGAUGAAUAUGAGGCUGAUGAUCGGGUUUUGCUUUCUUUGUUGAUAUUAGAGCAAAUGAAAGUGAAUAAGUCUCUAGAGCAAUAUCUUGCCAAGAAAUAGCUCAUCGUAUCACCUUUCACUUCCACACAGACAUCCUGGAAAUCUGAGUCGUCAUUAGUUUUACCACCGUUCGACUCAGAGCAAAACGACGUGGCCGUUUUCGUAAGCAGUGUCCCCUUGAUAGCCUUUGACUCCACGUUCAUCCCUGAAUACGGCCAGAGCUCUAUUUCGUCCUCACAGCAUGUGGCCUGGCGUGCUGUGUCUGAGGUGUCACCCUGCAGUGAGACCAGGCUGCCUGCUUCAACAGACUUGUUCCCCUCAGCUUCUGGAACAGCUGACAAUCAGACCAGCACUAGAGCAACUUCAAGCCAUUCAACAGUGAAUAAGCAGCAGUAUAACCCAGAGUGGGCAAACUCAGCUGAAUGGACAAUCAGCGUUCUCACCAAGCCAUCGCUUAGAAUAUCUGCUCCAGUCUGAGGAUGGAGCUUUGACCCAUCUUUGUACCAGUGCACCUGGGCAGAGGGAUCUGAGAGCUCACACUGUAAAACAAUGGAGCUGCCUUUAUGGAUGGUUACGUUCCUCUCAGCCUCUGGAAUAGUGGAAAACCUCACAGACUGGAAUGUGAGCAACGCAGACGUUCACAGAGCAGCGGGCGUGUUCAGGCAGCAGCCCCUGGCUCCACAGGUAGAGAACCUACAUGGACCAGAGAACCAGCACUUCCCAUGACAAAUAUAUGUGAAGAAUAAAGAACGUUGUCUCUUGUGCCGAAUGCAAAGAAAGCAGCUCUACAGUCUAAUAGUUGAAUAAUGAUAAUAUAAUUUGGGUCCUUUAAGCCAGUGCCACCCAAAAAGAGAUAGAACUGUGUUAACUAAUGUAAUGUAAUAAAUAAAAUGAAAAUAAAGAAACAAAAAAACGGAGCCCAGCAAUAUCUUCAGUUAACGGAAAUGAAGAGUCAAAAUUGAGUAGCAGAACCGCACUCAGAUUGAAUAGAAAACCAAGCUC
This is a long non-coding RNA of Betta splendens (Siamese fighting fish), 2608 nucleotides long. RefSeq lists it as uncharacterized. The record is from RefSeq and is a predicted model, not a curated record. The transcript is spliced from 8 exons. Lineage: Eukaryota; Metazoa; Chordata; Actinopteri; Anabantiformes; Osphronemidae.